This is a long non-coding RNA of Cygnus olor (mute swan), 732 nucleotides long. RefSeq lists it as uncharacterized. The record is from RefSeq and is a predicted model, not a curated record. The transcript has 2 exons. Lineage: Eukaryota; Metazoa; Chordata; Aves; Anseriformes; Anatidae.
CCUUUUCAAGCCCUUGUAACUUAUUUUCACGUCGAUUACAUUUGUUAACAGUGUUUGCUCCUUCUGGUGUGAAGAAGUCCUCAGAGAAACUAAGCACAUUCAAGUGCAGAUGAUUUCUCAGGAAGCAGUUCAGCAGGAUGAUGGGGUGGUAAAAGAAAGCAGAAAAAAAAGCAAAUUGGAUUAUCUGCUCAGUGAUCUGGACUACAGAUAUACUUCAGAGGCUUUUCUGCUUUGUUUGGUGAGACUUUACAAGGGAAGGUUUAUAUUCUGUAUCAUGUUGGUCUACUGAAAGCCUGAAAAAUGAUGGUUCCUCUGGAUCAUCACUUGCUUUCUGUCUGGGCAAGAGAAGGACUGAAGAUAGCAGUUUACACAAAGUGUCAAAGGGGUGUCAAAGAAGUGAAAAUCCUGCAUACAAAAUGGCUGUCAUGAACCUGAUUAAUACACGGAAAUAAAACUCAUUCAUCUGUUCAUCGUAAUAUUAUGGACCUGUCCCUUUUGGAGCAAGCAUUAGAUGCAUCUUCAAACCUCCAAAUCCUGGUGGGAAAAGGGAAAGCCAAAGUCCAACAGUGGAGAAAAAGGUAUUGGCUCUAUUGCUGUACUCUGGAUGGUGUUCCAAGAGGAAAAGAAAACAAACAGGAAACAAGCUCUGAUUUGAAGGAUGAUUCUAUGUUGCUGGAAAAGGUGCACAGCAAUAUAUUGAAUUUUCUUAAUAAAUUCUAAGGCCAACGUUCA